ACCGUGACCUGGGCUGAAGGCAGAGGCUUAAUGACUGAGCCACCUAGGUACCCCUGAAUUACUUCCCUUAUUGUUAUGCCCUUUGGCAUAUUUUUAUCUCUAGGAGUAAAGCAGAGCAGAAUGGCAACUAUGGUUCCUGUAACAAGCCAUGUCAGAUACGACCCUGCAAGUAAGAUUGUGACUGUGGUCAGAUUACUUCAUUGAAAAAUAAAAAUCAAGAGGGUAAAAGCAACAGGAACCAUGAAAGAAAUCACCAUUUGCCAAAACUAAUGUUUGUCCAGAUCAAGCAGAGUUUAUACUAACAAGCUAAAAAAUCGAGGAAAAAAUCUACCGCACAGACUCUAAAAAUCCAUCUAGUUAAAAAUAGAAGUAUUUACAUUUUAAACUACCUUGAUCUGAACUCCUCCAAGGAACUCUACAUCAUUAAAAUCCCCAGGGCCUUAUAAGAGAUGAGAGAGAUUUUAAGGUGACCUGUUUUCUUGGUUAGCUGCUAAUAUUAUAGAACUGGAUUAUAGGUAAUCCAAUCUCAAGCCUUUCAGAAUGGCCUGUUUGCAUUCGGAGCUCUCUAGUUCCGCAGUCCUAUAAAGUGACCUACCUGCCAAGUUCACAGUUCACUGGAAAUAAUGACUAAACUUCAACAAGGUCUCACACUUGGAAGAGAAUGCUGCCAGUCUGCUUGACGCCAGGAAAGCAAGUGUGCUUGGAGCUCUGUGUCCUUCCCUGACCCCAGAAAAAAAAACACCUCCGACCCCACGAGAAAAGGAAGCAAGGGUCCCAUGCCACGAUAACAAUCCUGUGGUGACACAGGCCCAAGACUUAGGUUUUUGUGGUCUCUUAAGAAGAGGUCGUUGCACAAAAGCAAACAUUUUAGAUCAUUGCUUUAUUUCACUAUUGUUUAACAACAAAGUUCAUUCCUCUCCAGGUGGAUCUUGAAUUGUUCUUUUGUGUUCUUUUCCUCAUCCUGAAUAAAAAAGGUAAUGAAGAAAAAGCCUGUACUUUUGGAGACCUAGAAUCUUACUUAUGCUAAUAAGCUUUUGACUGCGAUUUCGUGGUCUGGUAUUUCCUGCUGGCAUCUUGGUGGUCCCACGGAGCUCCCCACCCUCCAGUGAAGAUGGCUGUCCACAACUACCACCGUUGAAACCAAAGGUUAAGAUGAGGAGUUGGUUUUCCUGGCUGAGAUUUACACUGAAGACUGGUCCCAGACCUAGGAGCAAAAGGAGGAGUUUUAGCUCAGGGGGCCAAGAGUUGUUGGGCUUGCCCCGCACGAUCCCGGCUGGACACGUGCCGUGCUUGGUCUCCCUGCGGCCAGUAACACCGAGCGCCACCCAGGCUGGCACCAGUGAGCAGAGCCAUGCUGCGGAGCUUGGGGUUCAUCAGGGAAAUGAAAAAUCACAGAAAAUUCUCCAAAGCUUUGGAUGGAUCUCUGUUAAACACACAUACGCUGGACCCUUUUUAUUGCUCCACAAACUAGGAACAAGCAUGACCCUCACCGUUCAGAUAAGAAUGUGAGACAGACUGGGGGUUGGCCUGUGCUAAGAAGCUGACACAGGUCAGUUUGACAUCCUAAUCCCCACUUUGUAAUCCUACCGACCUAGUAUUUUGCAGACCCUCGAAGGCACAGAAGGAAGUCUUCUCUUACGGGCUGAGGCUACUACGAGACCCUUGAUACAAGGGAGCAAUUUUGAGAAAGCCUGCACUCAUCACUGCCAGCAGCCCUAUCUGUCCCCCUCCUCGGCCUAGUGCUCGGUCACCUCUCUUUCCAGGUGGCUUUCCAAGCCUCCUUGGCACCCAGUGCUGAGGUGAAAGGUGUGGGGAUCAGACCGGACAGAAUCAGAAACCCGAGCAGGACAAAUAAAAAUGGUAUAGUUGGCACAAAACGUGUCCCUGGCCCCAAAGGUUGAUAGUAAUAACCAAACAACUGAAAACACUGCGCCUUUCUGUAUGGCCCAUCCAGCCUCCACCCAGCUCCAGCUUGGGUAUUUCAAACAAAGAUUUCAGCAAAUACAGCCCUAACCAUUCUCUCUGAAGAAGCAAGAUCCAGAACAGAACUGAGUCAAUUCCUUCCCACUCUAAUGAGCAGAAAAAGUACUCAAUCCUCAUCACCUCCGCACAAUCAGGGCUAGGAAAAGGGUUACUUAAAAUGGGUACAUUUUAUAGAGAAUAUUAUUUGGAAAACAUAUUUGAUUGAUUGGGGGCUUUAUCAAAGAAAAUAAAGCAGAAAUCAGGAAAGUAAAUGUAUCCUUGUUAUUUUUAAAAUCUAAAUUACAAUUGGAAUUUCAUGCCGAUUCUGAGUGAGCCAAGCAUGAAUCACAUACUGAUUUAUCUUGCUCUAAUUUUUGCAACAAAACAGUAUGCUAAUAGGCUCAAUGACAUACUUUCCAUCAAUGUUGGACUUUUGCAGUAGAGUCAAAGUCAUUUCUUCAAAACUGUUUGAGAGUGUUAUUGAUUUUCCCAGAGGCCUAUCUUAAUCCUUGAUAUUUAAAUCCUUCUCUUUGAAAGGCGCCAAACUUCUUGUUGUUGUUUCCUUCAGUUUUUGACCUAACUGCCAGAAUCAGUUUUGUCAAUGCCCAUAAUUAGAAACAAGAAAAGCAAUGACACCUACUGGGGGAGGAGAGACUCUGUAGAGCAAGCUUGAGGGCCAAAUCCAGACAGAUGACCCGUUUUUAUAAAUAAAGUUUUUAUUGGAACACAGCCAUGCCCAUCUGGUUAUGCACUGUCUAUAGCUUUCACAGAAUAAUACCUGAAUAAUUAAGAGAGGCCAUAUGGCCCACAAAGCCAAAAAUAUUU
Mustela erminea (ermine) is the source of this 2787-nucleotide long non-coding RNA. RefSeq lists it as uncharacterized. The record is from RefSeq and is a predicted model, not a curated record. NCBI's taxonomy places the organism in Eukaryota, Metazoa, Chordata, Mammalia, Carnivora, Mustelidae. The transcript has 3 exons.